GCUGGCGGCAGGCCUAACACAUGCAAGUCGAGCGCACUCUUCGGAGUGAGCGGCGGACGGGUUAGUAACGCGUGGGAACGUACCCAGAUCUAAGGAAUAGCCACUGGAAACGGUGAGUAAUACCUUAUACGCCCUUCGGGGGAAAGAUUUAUCGGAUUUGGAUCGGCCCGCGUUAGAUUAGGUAGUUGGUGGGGUAAUGGCCUACCAAGCCUACGAUCUAUAGCUGGUUUUAGAGGAUGAUCAGCAACACUGGGACUGAGACACGGCCCAGACUCCUACGGGAGGCAGCAGUGGGGAAUCUUAGACAAUGGGCGCAAGCCUGAUCUAGCCAUGCCGCGUGAGUGAUGAAGGCCUUAGGGUCGUAAAGCUCUUUCGCCUGUGAUGAUAAUGACAGUAGCAGGUAAAGAAACCCCGGCUAACUCCGUGCCAGCAGCCGCGGUAAUACGGAGGGGGUUAGCGUUGUUCGGAAUUACUGGGCGUAAAGCGCACGUAGGCGGAUUAGAAAGUUAGGGGUGAAAUCCCGGGGCUCAACCUCGGAACUGCCUCUAAAACUCCUAGUCUAGAGUUCGAGAGAGGUGAGUGGAAUUCCAAGUGUAGAGGUGAAAUUCGUAGAUAUUUGGAGGAACACCAGUGGCGAAGGCGGCUCACUGGCUCGAUACUGACGCUGAGGUGCGAAAGUGUGG
Molecule: ribosomal RNA, 683 nt
Filed under: uncultured Roseobacter sp.
Lineage: Bacteria; Pseudomonadati; Pseudomonadota; Alphaproteobacteria; Rhodobacterales; Roseobacteraceae
Description: bacterial SSU rRNA
Rfam family: Bacterial small subunit ribosomal RNA
Source: RNAcentral